RNAcentral lists this transfer-messenger RNA (353 nucleotides) under Planctomycetota. RNAcentral describes it as "UBA12191 sp013911165 Standard tmRNA". It matches the Rfam family "transfer-messenger RNA". Rfam says of the family: Bacterial tmRNA, also known as 10Sa RNA or SsrA, is named for its dual tRNA and mRNA-like properties. Its role is to liberate the mRNA from a stalled ribosome. RNAcentral also lists the same sequence under 2 other names. The record is from RNAcentral. Lineage: Bacteria; Pseudomonadati.
GGGGGCGAAACGGUUUCGACCGGACGAUGGAACGUCGUGUGGCAGGUGGAGGUUGUCCGGAGGCCUCCUUAAACACCGGCAAAAGUUUUGACUGCGAACAACAACUUCGCACUGGCUGCCUAAUACUGGCGCCCCUUCCCCCGCAGCAUGUCCAGGGCUGCGGACGGAGGGCCAUUUUACUGGACUGGCCGAAGAAGACCCUGCCAGUGGUCUUUGAGGCGAGAUCGAACUGGCGACCGUGGAUCGGAUCCUGUCCGUUGGAGCUGACCUCGGUUUUAAAGAACGGACUAUGCCUGUAGAAGCUCGGCGGGAAACGUUUCGGGACCCGGGUUCGACUCCCGGCGCCUCCACCA